UGUGCUAAUACCGAAUAAGCCCUUACGGGGAAAGUUUUAACGCCGAAAGAUGAGCCCGCACUUGAUUAGCUAGUUGGUAAGGUAAAGGCUUACCAAGGCAAUGAUCAAUAGCUGUUCUUAGAGGAAGACCAGCCACAUUGGGACUGAGACACGGCCCAGACUCCUACGGGAGGCAGCAGUGGGGAAUCUUGCACAAUGGGGGAAACCCUGAUGCAACGAUGCCGCGUGAGUGAAGAAGGCCUUUGGGUUGUAAAACUCUUUCGUCGGGGAAGAAAAUGACUGUACCCGGAUAAGA
RNAcentral lists this ribosomal RNA (295 nucleotides) under uncultured bacterium. Its description in RNAcentral is "partial 16S ribosomal RNA". It matches the Rfam family "Bacterial small subunit ribosomal RNA", at positions 159 to 488 of the family's 1533-position model. The record is from RNAcentral.